AUACUUCCCUGGCAGGGGAGAAACUGAUCACGCAGGUGGUUUUCCCAGGGCCAGGCUCACCCAUUGUGCUCCAGAUGUGCUGACCCCUGCGACUUCCCCAAACGUGGGAAACUCACUGCGUGAUUUGUGGUAGUGGGGGACUGUGUUCACGCUCUCCCCUA
Molecule: small nuclear RNA, 161 nt
Organism: Artibeus jamaicensis (Jamaican fruit-eating bat)
Lineage: Eukaryota; Metazoa; Chordata; Mammalia; Chiroptera; Phyllostomidae
Product: U1 spliceosomal RNA
Exons: 1
Source: RefSeq, a predicted model, not a curated record